AGAGUUUGAUCCUGGCUCAGAACGAACGCUGGCGGCAGGCCUAACACAUGCAAGUCGAACGCUCCCCAAGGAGAGUGGCAGACGGGUGAGUAACACGUGGGAAUCUUCCUAUCGGUACGGAAUAGCUCAGGGAAACUUGAAGUAAUACCGCAUACGCCCUUCGGGGGAAAGAUUUAUCGCCGAUAGAUGAGCCCGCGUCUGAUUAGCUAGUUGGUGGGGUAAUGGCCUACCAAGGCGACGAUCAUUAGCUGGUCUGAGAGGAUGACCAGCCACACUGGGACUGAGACACGGCCCAGACUCCUACGGGAGGCAGCAGUGGGGAAUAUUGGACAAUGGGCGCAAGCCUGAUCCAGCCAUGCCGCGUGAGUGACGAAGGUCUUCGGAUUGUAAAGCUCUUUUGCCAGGGACAAUAAUGACGGUACCUGGAGAAUAAGCCCCGGCUAACUUCGUGCCAGCAGCCGCGGUAAUACGAAGGGGGCUAGCGUUGUUCGGAAUUACUGGGCGUAAAGCGCACGUAGGCGGAUUUGUUAGUCAGGGGUGAAAUCCCGGGGCUCAACCUCGGAACUGCCUUUGAUACUGCAAGUCUAGAGUCCGGAAGAGGUGAGUGGAAUUCCUAGUGUAGAGGUGAAAUUCGUAGAUAUUAAGAAGAACACCAGUGGCGAAGAGCGGCUCACUGGUCCGGUACUGACGCUGAUCGUGCGAAAGCGUGAGGAGCAAACAGGAUUAGAUACCCCUGGUAGUCCACGCCCGUAGACUAUGGAUGCUAGCCGUCUGCAAGCUUGCUUGUCGGUGGCGCAGCU
Molecule: ribosomal RNA, 800 nt
Filed under: uncultured bacterium
Lineage: Bacteria
Description: bacterial SSU rRNA
Rfam family: Bacterial small subunit ribosomal RNA
Source: RNAcentral